UGAACGCUGACAGAAUGCUUAACACAUGCAAGUCUUUGGCGAAGCUGUGCUUGCACAGCCUAGCCAAGGCGGACGGGUGAGUAACGCGUAAGGAACUUGCCCUGCAGUCAGGGAUAACAGACGGAAACGACUGAUAAGACCUGGUAAAGUCAGGCGGACUCAUGUCCAGCCUGAUGAAAAGAGAUGCUGCAGGAGAGCCUUGCGUCCUAUUAGCUUGUUGGUGGGGUAACGGCCCACCAAGGCGAUGAUAGGUAGCCGGCCUGAGAGGGUGGACGGCCACAAGGGGACUGAGAUACGGCCCUUACUCCUACGGGAGGCAGCAGUGGGGAAUAUUGGACAAUGGGGGCAACCCUGAUCCAGCAAUUCUGUGUGCACGAUGAAGGUUUUCGGAGUGUAAAGUGCUUUCAGCAGGGAAGAAAAAAAUGACGGUACCUGCAGAAGAAGCGACGGCUAAAUACGUG
Molecule: ribosomal RNA, 461 nt
Filed under: uncultured bacterium
Lineage: Bacteria
Description: partial 16S ribosomal RNA
Rfam family: Bacterial small subunit ribosomal RNA
Source: RNAcentral